This 460-nucleotide ribosomal RNA is filed under the name uncultured bacterium. RNAcentral describes it as "partial 16S ribosomal RNA". It matches the Rfam family "Bacterial small subunit ribosomal RNA", at positions 338 to 795 of the family's 1533-position model. The record is from RNAcentral.
CCUACGGGGGGCUGCAGUGAGGAAUAUUGGACAAUGGGCGAGAGCCUGAACCAGCCACGUCGCGUGAAGGAUGACGGCCCUACGGGUUGUAAACUUCUUUUGUCAGGGAGCAAUUGAGUCCACGUGUGGGCUUAGCGAGAGUACCUGAAGAAACAGCAUCGGCUAACUCCGUGCCAGCAGCCGCGGUAAUACGGAGGAUGCGAGCGUUAUCCGGAUUUAUUGGGUUUAAAGGGUGCGGAGGCGGAAUAUCAAGUCAGCGGGAAAAAUUCGGGGCUCAACCCCGUCGUGCCGUUGAAACUGAUGGUCUUGAGUGGACGAGAAGUAUGCGGAAUGCGUGGUGUAGCGGUGAAAUGCAUAGAUAUCACGCAGAACUCCGAUUGCGAAGGCAGCAUACCGGCGCGCAACUGACGCUGAAGCACGAAAGCGUGGGUAGCGAACAGGAUUAGAUACCCCUGUAGUC